GACCAGAUGCCCGAGUGGUUAAGGGGACAGACUAGAAUGUAGCUCAGCUCCUCGCUUUAUCUGUUAGGCUUUGCCUGCGCAGGUUCAAAUCCUGCUCUGGUCG
This is a transfer RNA of Rhodotorula toruloides ATCC 204091, 103 nucleotides long. It matches the Rfam family "tRNA". Rfam says of the family: Transfer RNA (tRNA) molecules are approximately 80 nucleotides in length. Their secondary structure includes four short double-helical elements and three loops (D, anti-codon, and T loops). The record is from Rfam. NCBI's taxonomy places the organism in Eukaryota, Fungi, Basidiomycota, Microbotryomycetes, Sporidiobolales, Sporidiobolaceae.